RNAcentral lists this ribosomal RNA (448 nucleotides) under uncultured bacterium. RNAcentral's name for it is "bacterial SSU rRNA". It matches the Rfam family "Bacterial small subunit ribosomal RNA", at positions 329 to 794 of the family's 1533-position model. The record is from RNAcentral.
UUCCAGACUCCUACGGGAGGCAGCAGUGGGGAAUAUUGCACAAUGGGGGAAACCCUGAUGCAGCGACGCCGCGUGAGCGAUGAAGUAUUUCGGUAUGUAAAGCUCUAUCAGCAGGGAAGAAGAUGACGGUACCUGACUAAGAAGCCCCGGCUAACUACGUGCCAGCAGCCGCGGUAAUACGUAGGGGGCAAGCGUUAUCCGGAUUUACUGGGUGUAAAGGGAGCGUAGACGGCGAUGCAAGCCAGAUGUGAAAGCCCGGGGCUCAACCCCGGGACUGCAUUUGGAACUGUGUGGCUGGAGUGUCGGAGAGGCAGGCGGAAUUCCUAGUGUAGCGGUGAAAUGCGUAGAUAUUAGGAGGAACACCAGUGGCGAAGGCGGCCUGCUGGACGAUGACUGACGUUGAGGCUCGAAAGCGUGGGGAGCAAACAGGAUUAGAUACCCUUGUAAA